This 329-nucleotide unclassified non-coding RNA is filed under the name Hevea brasiliensis (rubber tree). Lineage: Eukaryota; Viridiplantae; Streptophyta; Magnoliopsida; Malpighiales; Euphorbiaceae. The record is from RNAcentral.
UUUUACUCUGAAGUAAUUGGUUUAGCUUUAAAAUUGUGAAGGGAAAGUCACUUCUAGAUCUUUUACUUAGCCAUCUUCCAUACUUUUAAUUUGAGUUGAACACUAACCAAACUAGGAACAGGAAAAUAAAUUUCUUCAAGUAAUUAAAUGUUGUAUUUUCUUGGACUGUCAAAUAUGCUAUGCCUCUACAAGGCAUGUUGACAAUGAUAUCAGAGCAUCUGAUGUUAUUUGUGCAUUGUUUAUUGUUUAGUCAACUCAACAUAGUGUCUGACUACUUGGAGAGGCAUCUGAAAUUCUUUUGAUUAAUUUUUGAGUUAUCUUAUUCUGUG